UUACGGCCAUAUUAGGUUGAAACGGUGGUUCCAUAACGAUCACCGAAGUUAAGCAACGUCGAGCCUGGUUAGUACCUAGAUGGGUAACUGCUUGGGAAUACUAGGUAG
Acanthosepion pharaonis is the source of this 108-nucleotide non-coding RNA. The record is from the annotation of a GenBank genome assembly. Lineage: Eukaryota; Metazoa; Mollusca; Cephalopoda; Sepiida; Sepiidae.